This 21-nucleotide non-coding RNA is filed under the name Caenorhabditis elegans. The record is from RNAcentral. Lineage: Eukaryota; Metazoa; Nematoda; Chromadorea; Rhabditida; Rhabditidae.
UUCCAUUAUCAAUGAAAACAU